CCCUUAGAUGUUCUGGGCCGCACGCGCGCUACACUGACGAAUGCAACGAGCUUAUAACCUUGGCCGAAAGGUCUGGGUAAUCUCCAAAUUUCGUCGUGAUGGGGAUAGAUUAUUGCAAUUAUUAAUCUUCAACGAGGAAUUCCCAGUAAGUGCAAGUCAUAAGCUUGCGCUGACUACGUCCCUGCCCUUUGUACACACCGCCCGUCGCUACUACCGAUUGAAUGAUUUAGUGAGGACUUCGGACUGGGACCGAUGCGGCUUUCGGGCUGCGUCGGUAUUCUGGAAAGAUGUCCAAACUGUAUCAUUUAGAGGAAGUAAAAGUCGUAACA
Molecule: ribosomal RNA, 329 nt
Filed under: uncultured eukaryote
Lineage: Eukaryota
Description: partial 18S ribosomal RNA
Rfam family: Eukaryotic small subunit ribosomal RNA
Source: RNAcentral